AUUGAACGCUGGCGGCAUGCUUUACACAUGCAAGUCGAACGGCAGCGCGGGCUUCGGCCUGGCGGCGAGUGGCGCACGGGUGAGUAAUGCAUCGGAACGUGCCCAGUGGUGGGGGAUAGCCCGGCGAAAGACGGAGUAAUACCGCAUACGACCUGCGGGUGGAAGCGGGGGUGCGAAAGGCCUCGCGCAAUUGGAGCGUCCGAUGUCGGGUUAGCUAGUUGGUGGGGUAAAGGCUUACCAAGGCGACGAUCCGUAGCUGGUCUGAGAGGGCGACCAGCCACAACGGGACUGAGACACGGCCCAGGCCCCUACGGGAGGGAGCAGUGGGGGAUUUUUGACAAUGGGGGCAACCCUGAUCCAGCCAUGCCGCGUGCGGGAAGAAGGCCUUCGGGUUGUAAACCGCUUUUGUUCGGGAAGAAAUCCUCUGGGCUAAUACCCCGGGGGGAUGACGGUACCGGAAGAAUAAGCACCGGCUAACUACGUG
This 484-nucleotide ribosomal RNA is filed under the name uncultured bacterium. Its description in RNAcentral is "partial 16S ribosomal RNA". It matches the Rfam family "Bacterial small subunit ribosomal RNA", at positions 28 to 507 of the family's 1533-position model. The record is from RNAcentral.